This 862-nucleotide ribosomal RNA is filed under the name Cassidulinidae sp. RNAcentral's name for it is "SSU rRNA". The stretch from base 22 to 553 matches the Rfam family "Eukaryotic small subunit ribosomal RNA", at positions 1178 to 1501 of the family's 1831-position model. Lineage: Eukaryota; Foraminifera; Rotaliida; Cassidulinidae. The record is from RNAcentral.
AAGGGCACCACAAGAACGCGUGGAGCAUGUGGCUUAAUUUGACUCAACGCGGGAAAUCUUACCGGGUCCGGACACACUGAGGAUUGACAGGCAAUAUUAUAUACACAAAUCAGACUCUCGAGUCUGUGCUGUUAUAUAUGUUAAAUAUGCUAGUCCUUUCAUGAUUAUGUGAUAGGUGGUGCAUGGCCGUUCUUAGUUCGUGGAGUGAUCUGUCUGCUUAAUUGCGUUUCACUAUUGGGCUUAUAUAAUUACGUAUGCACGCUAACGCUUUGACCCCUUUUCUACGGAAUUGUGCGUGUCUUUGUUUCGUUUAGCUCAUACAAUUAAGCCCUGAAAGCAACGAACGUGACCGCAACCUCUUGUUGCUCUCAAUUUUGAUUCUUGUGUUACGGCACAAAUCAUGCCAACAUUUUCUUGCUUUACUGUGAGAUUUUGUCGGUUAAGAGAGCUUUCUAAACUAGAGGGACCGCUGUUACUUUCUUAAACCAGAGGAAGGUUGCGGCAAUAACAGGUCUGUGAUGCCCUUAGAUGUUCCGGGCUGCACACGUGCUACAAUGAUUAUUGCAGUGAGCAUCUCAUUUUUUACAUACAUCGCAUGCGCGAGUCCAUUUAUUCAACGCCUCGUGUGUUGCUUUAAAUGUGCACCUCUGCGCGCGAUAAAGCCUACUUCGAAAGUAAGCGGGUAAUCAAUUAGAAGUAAUGAUUUCCUUUUUUUCCUGCACACAUAUAUAUGGCACUUAUACCCGGGUAGCCUUGUUGCUACUUCUGUGCGUAUCAGUGAUAUUUUGUGGAUUUUACUUCACAUUAUAUAUUACCAUAUGUGCAAUUGUCAAUUCAUGGUGGGGACAGACCAUUGUUAAUU